RNAcentral lists this ribosomal RNA (304 nucleotides) under uncultured bacterium. RNAcentral describes it as "partial 16S ribosomal RNA". It matches the Rfam family "Bacterial small subunit ribosomal RNA", at positions 506 to 807 of the family's 1533-position model. The record is from RNAcentral.
AAGCAGUAGCCGCGGUAAUACGAGGGGGGCAAGCGUUGUUCGGAUUUAUUGGGCGUAAAGGGUGCGUAGGCGGUUUGAUAAGUCAUCUGUGAAAUCUAUGGGCUCAACCCAUAGCCUGCAGGCGAAACUGUCGGGCUUGAGUAUUGGAGAGGUGAGUGGAAUUUCCGGUGUAGCGGUGAAAUGCGUAGAUAUCGGAAGGAACACCUGUGGCGAAAGCGGCUCACUGGACAAUAACUGACGCUGAGGCACGAAAGCUAGGGGAGCAAACAGGAUUAGAUACCCGCGUAGUCCCUGUCUCUUAUAC